AACAGGAUUAGAUACCCUGGUAGUCCACGCUGUAAACGAUGUCGACUUGGAGGUUGUGCCCUUGAGGCGUGGCUUCCGGAGCUAACGCGUUAAGUCGACCGCCCGGGGAGUACGGCCGCAAGGUUAAAACUCAAAUGAAUUGACGGGGGCCCGCACAAGCGGUGGAGCAUGUGGUUUAAUUCGAUGCAACGCGAAGAACCUUACCUACUCUUGACAUCCAGAGAAUUUGCUAGAGAUAGCUUAGUGCCUUCGGGAACUCUGAGACAGGUGCUGCAUGGCUGUCGUCAGCUCGUGUUGUGAAAUGUUGGGUUAAGUCCCGCAACGAGCGCAACCCUUAUCCUUUGUUGCCAGCACGUAAUGGUGGGAACUCAAAGGAGACUGCCGGUGAUAAACCGGAGGAAGGUGGGGAUGACGUCAAGUCAUCAUGGCCCUUACGAGUAGGGCUACACACGUGCUACAAUGGCAUAUGCAAAGAGAAGCGAACUCGCGAGAGCAAGCGGACCUCAUAAAGUAUGUCGUAGUCCGGAUCGGAGUCUGCAACUCGACUCCAUGAAGUCGGAAUCGCUAGUAAUCGUAGAUCAGAAUGCUACGGUGAAUACGUUCCCGGGCCUUGUACACACCGCCCGUCACACCAUGGGAGUGGGUUGCAAAAGAAGUAGGUAGCUUAACCUUCGGGAGGGCGCUUACCACUUUGUGAUUCAUGACUGGGGUGAAGUCGUAACGAGGUAACC
Molecule: ribosomal RNA, 731 nt
Filed under: uncultured bacterium
Lineage: Bacteria
Description: bacterial SSU rRNA
Rfam family: Bacterial small subunit ribosomal RNA
Source: RNAcentral